RNAcentral lists this transfer RNA (71 nucleotides) under Loxodonta africana (African savanna elephant). It matches the Rfam family "tRNA". From Rfam's summary of the family: Transfer RNA (tRNA) molecules are approximately 80 nucleotides in length. Lineage: Eukaryota; Metazoa; Chordata; Mammalia; Proboscidea; Elephantidae. The record is from Rfam by way of RNAcentral.
AUACUGGUGGCACAGUGGUUGAGCACUUGGCUGCUAACCAAAUGGUCAGUAGUUCGAACCUACCCAGUGGC